Molecule: transfer RNA, 71 nt
Filed under: Aedes aegypti (yellow fever mosquito)
Lineage: Eukaryota; Metazoa; Arthropoda; Insecta; Diptera; Culicidae
Rfam family: tRNA
About the family: Transfer RNA (tRNA) molecules are approximately 80 nucleotides in length.
Source: Rfam by way of RNAcentral
GGCUCGGUAGCUUAGUUGGUUAAGCACUCGUCUGGCAUACAAGGUCGUGGAUCUGAAUCUCACCUGAGCUC